CACCGGGACCGGCGGCGGCUCUGGCGGGGCUGAGCGGGAACCGACAGCUGCAGCGCAGGGACGCCGUUCCCACCGUGCGCCGAGUCUGCCGCGCUCGGGCUUUCCUUGCUCGUACUUCCCGGUUUUACAGAGAGGAGGAGAGGUAUGAAACUCUGCGCCUUAACGAAUAAAAAGAAGAGAGCAAAUUUUCACGGCAGGUCACCUCAUUUCAUGGAAGCAGCAUAACACGUCUAUAGGAAAUGAACUAUUGAACACUGCCAGUUUAUGGACAUACCUUGCAUUUGAAGCUCCCACAAAAGUCUGGACAAUCAGAAGUGCUCAGAAAAGAAGUAUUAUGCUAAAAUGGGUGCAGAUUUAGGUAAAGAUCCAAAGCGGUAUUUUCCUCAUCACUUGUACCCUCAAAAACCCCCAAGCCUUGGCUUUGGAUACUUGCAUGAAAGCAGUGGCUGCAGGUGCCAAUCAUUUGGUAGUUCUCAAAAAAUCCUUAAGUUUAGGUGGAUUGGUUUUACAUUUGUGUCUUUACUCAGUGGUGGUUGGCUGCUGACCUCAGCAUUUUAAUAAGGCUCUAAUGUGUGAUGAAAGAAGCAAAUCAAACAGUACCAAGUGCUUGGUGGACUAACAGGAGUUGUUCAAAAGCAUUAGAUUUGGCAUCAUCUGGGAGUACUGAACCCCAAACAUGAGGAUGGCUAAGAACUGCAACAUGAAACUAACUAUAAGAUAAAAGUGAAACUUGUCAGCUCAAAUUUCAAGUGAGCGAAUUACAAAUUUUAAGGCAGAGUUUUGUUUUUAGUUCAACAUCCUUGCUUGUAAAGUUUCUGUGCAGAACAUAACCCGUGGCUGUGAAACUGUUUGCAAAUGAGUGCUUAAGGUGUUUUGGAAUUGUUAGAUGCUUUUUAUCAUUCUGUGGAUGAAUUUGAGGACGAACCAAAAUAUGAUGUACAAUUUUUCAUGCAAAGUUUUUACUUCCUUAAAUUUAGUCAUGUUCUUAGAAGGUAGAUGCAAAUAAUAAAUAAUAUCUGUAAACAUACUUGCGGAUUUGUAAGAAUAUUCUCCUGCAUAUUCACACAAAGUUCCAAGCCCUCUUUAAGCAACUUUGAAGAGCUUAUUUUCAUUGAGUCUUGUCACUUUUCACCUCUGGAUAAGAAUUCUUGUCUCUUUCUUUUGAGCAAUUUAUGUUUCCUAACAGAAUGAGAAGAGAAACAGUCUCCUGGUGUUUGUUGUGCUCAUUUUCCAAGAGCCAUAGUGUCUGGUUGAACUUGAAUCUCCUGAGGUUUCCAAGCAGCUGGGAGAAACUGAUGACAACUCGUGCUGCCCAUUAGUUCCUGAAGAGCAGAACUGAAACUGGCAGGAACAUUGGUAGCUGUACACUGCUAUAGUUUGGGUAAAUGAGAAGAGAAAAACAAAGCAACCUUGGUAUAUGUUGUCUUUGAGACCAAGCAGGUCUAGAAAAUAAAAAAAAAAACAGAGAUUAAUGUUUUGCAUCAAGUUAUUGAUGACUCCAAUCACUAUUCAUUGUGAAAAGUGUCUCAUUGACAACUUGUAAAUAGAUAUUUAGACAGGCUGGGUUUUGGGGGUUUGAUUUUUAAGCUUUGCUGUAUUUAAUCCAAGCAACUGGGCACUUCACACAUUUGUAUACAAAGUUCCCAUUAUUUACUGUGCUAAAUUAAGGGUGCAGCCACUGUAAAAGAAUUUUUACCUAAUACAUCCUUCUAAUCCUGGAUGCAAAGCAACUAGUUAAAAUUCCUGUUACCUUUGUCAUGUUCUGCAGGACAUGAGCAUGUUGUAUAUGUAAUUUAAACUGGUUUGUGCUUCAAGAAUGGAGAAUCUGGUUUUCCAUUAUGGUGCACAGCUUUCAGUCUGACUUGUCAGUCAAGGAUGCAGGAAUUAAUUAAUGUGUUAAUUUGCAAAAUCUUAGUGAAGAGGUAUAUUUCUGCAUCCUCCUAAAUGUGGCAGUCUUGAGAAGUUAUCUCUUUAAAGGAGGAAUUCUGAGACAGUGGUCAUCCAUAUCAGUUUCUAGUAACAUAAUCGUAUAGGAGUUUAGGCAACCUAAACAGGCAUAUGGUAGCUAAAACAUGAGAUUGCACAGCUGCAGUACUUCAACUUUUUUUUCAUUUAUUUCCAUUGUCUGAAGACAAGAAUUAAAAUACUUCCAUAGUCAUACUAUGAUGAUGUUGUACGGAUGUGCAAAAACCAGGUAAUGAUUCUUACAGACAGAUUUUUUUCCAUUUAAAAAAUGUUCCUGUAUGUUGUGUGUUGUGUUUUGAUUUAUCAUCUCCUAAGUAUGUAUCAUUAAAGAAAAGCAAUCAGUUCUUUGUUUGUAUUCCUACUCCUUAUUGAUGCUUAUGAAGUGAACUUUCACAUUGUAUCUUGAUUAUUCUAGAUUUAAGGAUUCUCAUAUAGUUUAAUGUAUUGAGAAUUACAAUGGAAAACAACUCAGUGUUGUUUCUUGUGUAUUGUUUCUUGUUUUAUUUCUGAUUUGUGGAGAUUCUUAUUUUCUUUUUUUUUUUUUUCUGAUUUCCAUUAGCGAAGUUUUGUUUCCAAUUCCAUGUAUUUCUUGGAAUCUCAGUUCCUAAAAUUUAUUUUUCAGUUAAUGAUUUUUUCUUUUUGAUUCUUGUUAAAUGCACUUUUUCUCCUCUGCAGGAAUUGUAGUUGAAAGAUUUAUUAGGAGAACAGUGACACAGAAAUACACAGUUUUCUGGAGCUGAGGAACUAAUCUUGAAUAAAAUGUUAAUUGUUGAGGUAGCAACAUAGAAGUGUAGUGCCUUUCAGAUGACUUUCCAAUUUCUAUUUAUACUUCCAAAUUAAUCUAACAAGUUUUGAAGGUAUACCCUGGGAUGCUGUACAGUCUCAAAAAAUGGCUUGAAAUUUUCCCAUUCAUUUAGAGCAGACUGUAAGUAUUUAUCAUGGGAAAUUACCUUUUUUCCACUUUCCUCAUCUCAUAAUUUUGUUUUCUGUUUUUAUACUUUACCAUGAAUUUACUUGUACAUUUAAAGCUCAAAGUUUAUGAGGUCUAAUAAAUUGUCAUGUCUUUGCACAACUUGAGGAGAUUGGACCUGCUUGAAAGAUGUAAGUGUGAGGGUGUAACUCUGCCAUAAAUCAUCAAAAAGUACAUAGCAUAGAUAGCUAUAAUGACUUGCAUAUAUGCAACUGACUUUUCUAACAUCUUCUUUAUUAAGAAAAAGCGUUUGUGAAGGUCACAAAGGCUUUCAAACCCAUUUUGUUUCUCUUGCUGUCCUUUGCCCUUCUUGUUGCAUAUUGUUUUUCUCUUGAAAGCAAUUAACCUAUGCUGAUACCUAUGUCAGGUUAGUCUGCUGUAAAAAAUGAAUGUAAUAGAAUAUAACAAAGACCUACUCUUCCAUUCUUAUACUAAUUUUAACUUUCAUUGUGAUCUCUGUUUCAGAACCUUCACAGAGCAAAAAAUGAUUUGAGAAAAAAAUUGAAAAGGUCAUUCCACAUUCUUCAUCCAAAAGGCAAAGAAAAUAUCAUGUAUUCAAAAUGGAAUUGGAUUGAAAAUUUGGAUAUGAGUGGUGGAUAGUGAACAGUUGUGGGGUUUUUUUUUUUGUUUUCAAAAUACAUGGAACUUCAGAUGAGAAUGUCUGCUUCAACACUUUAUUUUCUACCACUAGAUGCAGUGGUUCUCAAGUUGUGACUGAUCAACUUACACUCGAAGUUAAGUUAGAUUGCCCGCUUUUAAUAGCAGCACGUUUUCCAUUCAUCUUUGUUUAUGAUGACUCUGCUAAGUGUUCUUAUCCUUUAUGCUAAAUAAACACUAAUGUGUUGUGAA
This is a long non-coding RNA of Melospiza melodia melodia, 3784 nucleotides long. RefSeq lists it as uncharacterized. The transcript has 2 exons. The record is from RefSeq and is a predicted model, not a curated record. Lineage: Eukaryota; Metazoa; Chordata; Aves; Passeriformes; Passerellidae.